Molecule: ribosomal RNA, 700 nt
Filed under: Sarocladium spinificis
Lineage: Eukaryota; Fungi; Ascomycota; Sordariomycetes; Hypocreales; Sarocladiaceae
Description: partial large subunit ribosomal RNA
Rfam family: Eukaryotic large subunit ribosomal RNA
Source: RNAcentral
UGCCUCAGUAACGGCGAGUGAAGCGGCAACAGCUCAAAUUUGAAAUCUGGCCGCAAGGUCCGAGUUGUAAUUUGCAGAGGAUGCUUUUGGCGAGGUGCCUUCCGAGUUCCCUGGAACGGGACGCCAUAGAGGGUGAGAGCCCCGUACGGUAGGACCACCGAGCCUUUGUAAAGCUCCUUCGACGAGUCGAGUAGUUUGGGAAUGCUGCUCUAAAUGGGAGGUGUACGUCUUCUAAAGCUAAAUACCGGCCAGAGACCGAUAGCGCACAAGUAGAGUGAUCGAAAGAUGAAAAGCACUUUGAAAAGAGGGUUAAAAAGUACGUGAAAUUGUUGAAAGGGAAGCAUUCAUGACCAGACUUGGGCUUGGUUGAACAUCCGGCGUUCUCGCCGGUGCACUCUGCCAGUCCAGGCCAGCAUCAGUUUGCCCCGGGGGACAAAGGCGGUGGGAAUGUGGCUCUCUCCGGGGAGUGUUAUAGCCCGCCGUGUAAUGCCCUGGGGCGGACUGAGGAACGCGCUUCGGCUCGGAUGCUGGCGUAAUGGUCAUCAAUGACCCGUCUUGAAACACGGACCAAGGAGUCGUCUUCGUAUGCGAGUGUUCGGGUGUCAAACCCCUACGCGAAAUGAAAGUGAACGUAGGUGAGAGCUUCGGCGCAUCACCGACCGAUCCUGAUGUUCUCGGACGGAUUUGAGUAAGAGCAUAC